This 474-nucleotide ribosomal RNA is filed under the name uncultured Desulfobulbus sp. RNAcentral describes it as "bacterial SSU rRNA". It matches the Rfam family "Bacterial small subunit ribosomal RNA", at positions 916 to 1381 of the family's 1533-position model. The record is from RNAcentral. Lineage: Bacteria; Pseudomonadati; Thermodesulfobacteriota; Desulfobulbia; Desulfobulbales; Desulfobulbaceae.
ACGGGGCCCGCACAAGCGGUGGAGUAGUGUGGUUUAAUUCGAUGCAACGCGAAGAACCUUACCUGGUCUUGACAUCCCGGAGACCCUUAGGAAACUAGGGGUGCUUCCAUCUGGAAGAAUCUGGAGACAGGUGCUGCAUGGCUGUCGUCAGCUCGUGUCGUGAGAUGUUGGGUUAAGUCCCGCAACGAGCGCAACCCUUGCCUUUAGUUGCCAGCAGUUCGGCUGGGCACUCUAAAGGGACUGCCGGUGUUCAACCGGAGGAAGGUGGGGAUGACGUCAAGUCCUCAUGGCCUUUAUGACCAGGGCUACACACGUACUACAGUGGCCGAUACAAAGGGCAGCGACACUGCGAGGUGAAGCCAAUCCCGUAAAAUCGGUCUCAGUCCGGAUUGGAGUCUGCAACUCGACUCCAUGAAGUUGGAAUCGCUAGUAAUCGUGGAUCAGCAUGCCACGGUGAAUACGUUCCCGGGCCUU